RNAcentral lists this non-coding RNA (327 nucleotides) under Saccharibacillus sacchari DSM 19268. Its description in RNAcentral is "Bacterial small subunit ribosomal RNA". It matches the Rfam family "Bacterial small subunit ribosomal RNA", at positions 1 to 316 of the family's 1533-position model. Lineage: Bacteria; Bacillati; Bacillota; Bacilli; Caryophanales; Paenibacillaceae. The record is from Rfam by way of RNAcentral.
UUAAUGCAGAGUUAGAUCCUGGCUCAGGACGAACGCUGGCCGCAUGCCUAAUACAUGCAAGUCGAGCGGACUAAGGUGAAACUUGUUUCACCGAGGUUAGCGGCGGACGGGUGAGUAACACGUAGGCAACCUGCCUUUCAGUUUGGGAUAACUUCCGGAAACGGAUGCUAAUACCGAAUACAUCAUCUUCUGGCAUCGGAGGAUGAGGAAAGACGGCGCAAGCUGUCACUGAGAGAUGGGCCUGCGGCGCAUUAGCUAGUUGGUGGGGUAACGGCUCACCAAGGCGACGAUGCGUAGCCGACCUGAGAGGGUGAACGGCCACACUGG